Molecule: ribosomal RNA, 431 nt
Filed under: uncultured bacterium
Lineage: Bacteria
Description: partial 16S ribosomal RNA
Rfam family: Bacterial small subunit ribosomal RNA
Source: RNAcentral
AACGAACGCUGGCGGCAGGCCUAACACAUGCAAGUCGAGCGCCCUUUCGGGGGAGCGGCGGACGGGUGAGUACCGCGUGGGAAUAUGCCCUUCUCUACGGAAUAGCCUCGGGAAACUGAGAGUAAUACCGUAUACGCCCUUUGGGGGAAAGAUUUAUCGGGGAAGGAUUAGCCCGCGUUGGAUUAGGUAGUUGGUGGGGUAAUGGCCUACCAAGCCGACGAUCCAUAGCUGGUUUGAGAGGAUGAUCAGCCACACUGGGACUGAGACACGGCCCAGACUCCUACGGGAGGCAGCAGUGGGGAAUCUUAGACAAUGGGGGCAACCCUGAUCUAGCCAUGCCGCGUGAGUGAUGAAGGCCUUAGGGUUGUAAAGCUCUUUCAGCUGGGAAGAUAAUGACGGUACCAGCAGAAGAAGCCCCGGCUAACUCCGUG